RNAcentral lists this ribosomal RNA (1003 nucleotides) under Haematobia irritans (horn fly). RNAcentral describes it as "eukaryotic LSU rRNA". It matches the Rfam family "Eukaryotic large subunit ribosomal RNA", at positions 51 to 883 of the family's 3401-position model. The record is from RNAcentral. Lineage: Eukaryota; Metazoa; Arthropoda; Insecta; Diptera; Muscidae.
GGGAGGAAAAGAAACUAACAAGGAUUUUCUUAGUAGCGGCGAGCGAAAAGAAAUCAGUUCAGCACUAAGUCACUUUGUCUUUAUGGCAAAUGUGAGAUGCAGUGUAUGGAAUGUUCAAUUUCUAGUAUGAGAAAUUAGCGAUUUAAGUCCUUCUUAAAUGAGGCCAUUUACCCAUAGAGGGUGCCAGGCCCGUAUAACGUUAAUGAUUACUAGAGAGCAUUUCCAAAGAGUCGUGUUGCUUGAUAGUGCAGCACUAAGUGGGUGGUAAACUCCAUCUAAAACUAAAUAUAACCAUGAGACCGAUAGUAAACAAGUACCGUGAGGGAAAGUUGAAAAGAACUCUGAAUAGAGAGUUAAAUAGUACGUGAAACUGCUUAGAGGUUAAGCCCGAUGAACCUGAAUAUCCAUAUGGAAAAUUCAACAUUAUGACUGUGGUAUGAAUAAUACUGCGGGAAUGGUGUGCAUUUUUUCUAUAAAAGGACAUUGUAAUCUAUUAACAUAAUGAUUUAUCAUAAGAUCAUGGCUUAAGUUUAUUCAAAUUAUUAUGCUUGCAUUUUAACAUAGAAUAAGUGCCGUUGAUUCGAUAAAGUGUUGAUAGAUUUAUUAUAUAUAGCGCUUGAAUAUUUAUAUUCUAUAAUGGCAUGGUGAUCAUGAUUGCUGUGUUUAUUAUAUGCGUUUAUAUGAUUAACAAUGCGAAAGAUUCAGGAUACCUUCGGGACCCGUCUUGAAACACGGACCAAGGAGUCUAACAUAUUUGCAAGUUAUUGGGAAUUAGAAAACCUAAUAGCGUAAUUAACAUAACUAUUAUGGGAUUAGUUUUUAGUCUAGAAAUAGUCUAUUAAUUCAAUCCCGGGGCGUUCUAUCAGUUAUGCAUAAUAAUAUUUAUAUUAUUUAUGCCUCUAACCAGAGCGUACCUUGAGCAUAUAUGCUGUGACCCGAAAGAUGGUGAACUAUACUUGAUCAGGUUGAAGUCAGGGGAAACCCUGAUGGAAGACCGAAACAG